CACGGCCCAAACUCCUACGGGAGGCAGCAGUAGGGAAUCUUCCACAAUGGACGAAAGUCUGAUGGAGCAACGCCGCGUGAGUGAAGAAGGGUUUCGGCUCGUAAAACUCUGUUGUUAAAGAAGAACAUAUCUGAGAGUAACUGUUCAGGUAUUGACGGUAUUUAACCAGAAAGCCACGGCUAACUACGUGCCAGCAGCCGCGGUAAUACGUAGGUGGCAAGCGUUGUCCGGAUUUAUUGGGCGUAAAGCGAGCGCAGGCGGUUUUUUAAGUCUGAUGUGAAAGCCUUCGGCUCAACCGAAGAAGUGCAUCGGAAACUGGGAAACUUGAGUGCAGAAGAGGACAGUGGAACUCCAUGUGUAGCGGUGAAAUGCGUAGAUAUAUGGAAGAACACCAGUGGCGAAGGCGGCUGUCUGGUCUGUAACUGACGCUGAGGCUCGAAAGUAUGGGUAGCAAACAGGAUUAGAUACCCUGGUAGUCCAUACCGUAAACGAUGAAUGCUAAGUGUUGGAGGGUUUCCGCCCUUCAGUGCUGCAGCUAACGCAUUAAGCAUUCCGCCUGGGGAGUACGGCCGCAAGGCUGAAACUCAAAGGAAUUGACGGGGGCCCGCACAAGCGGUGGAGCAUGUGGUUUAAUUCGAAGCUACGCGAAGAACCUUACCAGGUCUUGACAUACUAUGCAAAUCUAAGAGAUUAGACGUUCCCUUCGGGGACAUGGAUACAGGUGGUGCAUGGUUGUCGUCAGCUCGUGUCGUGAGAUGUUGGGUUAAGUCCCGCAACGAGCGCAACCCUUAUUAUCAGUUGCCAGCAUUAAGUUGGGCACUCUGGUGAGACUGCCGGUGACAAACCGGAGGAAGGUGGGGAUGACGUCAAAUCAUCAUGCCCCUUAUGACCUGGGCUAC
This 899-nucleotide ribosomal RNA is filed under the name Lactiplantibacillus plantarum. RNAcentral describes it as "bacterial SSU rRNA". It matches the Rfam family "Bacterial small subunit ribosomal RNA", at positions 325 to 1217 of the family's 1533-position model. The record is from RNAcentral. Lineage: Bacteria; Bacillati; Bacillota; Bacilli; Lactobacillales; Lactobacillaceae.